GCUGGAAUGGCCGAGUCGUUAAGGCGAGUGAUUUGAAUUUCUCACUAUCACUUGGUGUUUCACCGCGUAGGUUCAAAUCCUGCUUCCAGCG
This 91-nucleotide transfer RNA is filed under the name Hypholoma sublateritium FD-334 SS-4. It matches the Rfam family "tRNA". From Rfam's summary of the family: Transfer RNA (tRNA) molecules are approximately 80 nucleotides in length. Their secondary structure includes four short double-helical elements and three loops (D, anti-codon, and T loops). Lineage: Eukaryota; Fungi; Basidiomycota; Agaricomycetes; Agaricales; Strophariaceae. The record is from Rfam by way of RNAcentral.